UAGGGAAUAUUGGACAAUGGGUGCAAGCCUGAUCCAGCCAUGCCGCGUGCAGGAAGAAAGCCUUCUGGGUUGUAAACUGCUUUUUUCAGGGGAUAAAAUACCGGUGCGCCGGGAAUUGCAAGUACCUGGAGAAUAAGCCACGGCUAACUACGUGCCAGCAGCCGCGGUAAUACGUAGGUGGCAAGCGUUGUCCGGAUUUAUUGGGUUUAAAGGGUGCGUAGGCGGUGAUUUAAGUCAGUGGUGAAAUACGGCAGCUUAACUGUCGAGGUGCCAUUGAUACUGGGUCACUUGAGUACUGAUGAGGUAGGCGGAAUGGACGGUGUAGCGGUGAAAUGCUUAGAGAUCGUCCAGAACACCGAUAGCGAAGGCAGCUUACUAAGGAGUAACUGACGCUGAGGCACGAAAGUGUGGGGAUCAAACAGG
This 423-nucleotide ribosomal RNA is filed under the name uncultured bacterium. Its description in RNAcentral is "partial 16S ribosomal RNA". It matches the Rfam family "Bacterial small subunit ribosomal RNA", at positions 355 to 776 of the family's 1533-position model. The record is from RNAcentral. RNAcentral also lists the same sequence under 1 other name.